This 348-nucleotide unclassified non-coding RNA is filed under the name soil metagenome. RNAcentral describes it as "partial contains 5.8S ribosomal RNA, internal transcribed spacer 2, and large subunit ribosomal RNA". The stretch from base 1 to 120 matches the Rfam family "5.8S ribosomal RNA", at positions 35 to 154 of the family's 154-position model. The record is from RNAcentral.
GAUGAAGAACGCAGCGAAAUGCGAUAAGUAAUGUGAAUUGCAGAAUUCAGUGAAUCAUCGAAUCUUUGAACGCACAUUGCGCCAGCCAGUAUUCUGGCGGGCAUGCCUGUCUGAGCGUCAUUUCAACCCUCAUGCCCCUAGGGCGUGGUGUUGGGGAUCGGCCAAAGCCCGCGAGGGACGGCCGGCCCCUAAAUCUAGUGGCGGACCCGUCGUGGCCUCCUCUGCGAAGUAGUGAUAUUCCGCAUCGGAGAGCGACGAGCCCCUGCCGUUAAACCCCCAACUUUCCAAGGUUGACCUCAGAUCAGGUAGGAAUACCCGCUGAACUUAAGCAUAUCAAUAAGCGGAGGA